This 3271-nucleotide ribosomal RNA is filed under the name Triticum aestivum (bread wheat). RNAcentral describes it as "partial small subunit ribosomal RNA". The record is from RNAcentral. Lineage: Eukaryota; Viridiplantae; Streptophyta; Magnoliopsida; Poales; Poaceae.
CACGCGCAGCGCGGUAAACGCCCCCGCACCCAUUGCGACGGGAGCUUUGGGGGGAGCUGGGUUAGGUUAGCGGGCGUGCGGCGUUGGGAAGGAGGGAGGAACUAGAGAGAGGGAGUCGGCGGUGCUUGGGAUCGGGGAAAAGGAUGCUAGGGCGCCAGCGACGGGAACGAGGUAGGCUGGAGGGAGCAGUCGGCGGCGGCGAUACCGAGGAGGCAGGAGGCUGAGACAGAGGGGUUAAGUAGGAGGUAGGGAAAGACGAGCUCCACGAGUAGCCGGGUCCAGCACUCCUUCGGCGCACUCCUCCUCGGGUCCAGCGCUUCGGCGCACUCCUCCUCUCUGGAGCGGGCUCUUCGACACCCUCCUCCCGGAGUUGGUCUCUCCUCGCCGACGGUCGGUACAUCAGCCGAGUCGAGCUGUGGCAGGAACCGCAGGCCCGGCGCCGUCUGGGAUCGCGGUAGGAAGUCCUCAGAAGUGCUGGCGGUCCACGCGUAGAAAGUCCUAAAUUAUUACUCAAUACAACCCGAAGUAACCUGUUUACUAGAUGGACCUCGUUACUAUGUCGAUGACCUGACCAAAAUCAACUAUUAUUUAACAAGAGAUAAAGUUUCUCGUUGUUGUGCUCUAACACGCGACAGAACGAGGUCGUAUGUUACACGGUCCAAGAUGACGUUGUCAUACUGUAUGUUUCACUACCUCCUCUCCACAAGUCUCUUUCUCAAUAUGUACACGGUCCAAGACUUCAUACUCCUAGGCCACGCUGUUCUUCGUCGACACUUAUACCAAGGACAUCUACUUGAAUUCCUCUUCCGCGAAUAAAGUGACCGGUUCCUUUGUACACUUUUUCCACCCUAGAAAGGCAGCCGAAGCGUCGACCGAUAUACGUAGUAUCUCGUAGAUUAGACGUAGUUGAAAUCUGUACCACACCUCGCAGCUGGUGCCGCUCGAACCGAUUACAGUUGUGCACUUCGACCCAGUUCAUGUCUUCUGCUUUGUGUUCUAAGUUCUAGUGAGAGAACAUACACUAAUAAAUGAGUAAAGCUCGGUAAAACGUUGGGUCGAACUGAAGAAAAUUAAACACUAGACUCGAUAUGUGUGGUUUUAAUCGGGUGCAUUCAAACUUGGUAUAGACUUGUACAAUCUAGUGAGAGGACAUACACUACUAAAUGAGAUACCUCGGUACAAUACUGGAUCGAACUCAAGAAAAUAAACGCUAGACUCGACGUUUUAUUUUUAUUUUUAUCAGGUGCAUUAAACUUGGUAUAGACUUGUAAAAUCAUAGACUUAUGACUUUAAUGGUUUAGAAGUGAAGCGGUACACACUGUGGUGACUCAUGAAAUUGAUUCGAUCGACAUCAUUAUAAUGCAAAAUGUACCGAUACGUUCAAUUUCCAAGAUUAUAUCACAUGCAAAUAACUAUAAAACACAAUAUGACUAAUUAUAUGAAGUGUAUAUUCAAAAUUCGAUUCUCGAGGAUUAUUAACAAAGAGGAGAAACGUCAACGGUAAAAUCAGUAUAAAAACGACUCUAUUUCUUAUUAUAACUCUAUUUAAAGGAAAGGCUACUACUCUAACCCAUACGGAUACAAAACAUAAAAAAAGUCAUAAUAGAAUAAAGUCCGAAGUCAAUCUACUCUCUCGAUUCUCUAUUAUACCAUUUGUUAAAGAUAGUUCACCCACUCGAGGUAAAAGUUCCAUUCAGUCCACUGUCGGUUUUUUUUGGUUCCUCUACUCAGAGAAUAGUCAACUAAACUAGAAUAGGUCCAAGAUAAAAGAAAGUCCGGUACUCAAUGCUACAGAACCAAUCUCGAUGAUGUAAGUUUCUCAUUUAGACAAAGCAACAUGACCUAAAUACAUGUAACAUACUUUUUCCACGUAGAUAAUACGGGACAUCUUAAAAGUCGACUCGUUAACACAUCUGAAUGUUUCGAAUAGUACUGUCUACAAUCACUAAAAACAUAACCCCGGUACAAUGUAGAGAUCCCAACUUAAUUACCGAUCUUUAAGUCUCAAUGUAUCGACUUUUGUCCCAACGAGCUUCGUUUGUUCGACGAAUAAGUCAUAAAAAUUGUGAGUACCUUUUCCAUAUACGAUUAGGAUUUAAGGUUUAAUAAUAAUAUAGUGUAUUGACUUUCACGUAAUCUGGUUACCACAAUAGUCUUUAUUUAAAGACGGGGUAUCGACUUGGCACAGAAAAGAGUCACACAUAUAUACAAUCUCUACACAUACUAAGCCUAUUAAAAGAAGUAAACAAUUGAAAUGGUUACAUACCGACUGUACGAAGUAAUACAAUAUAGUGUAGACUUUCACGUAAUGUGGCCACCAAAUAAUCUUACCUAUUAAAGCCAGUUUAUUAACUCAAGAAAAGAAGACACAUAUAUGUUCAAUAUCUACACGUACUAAUACAAAUAAGAGAUGUAAACCAUUUAAGUGGAUACAUACCGACUGUAUGAAGAAGUCCAAUACAAAGAUUUCGAGGUACGAAUUAGUAGGUCUUACAAAGGUUCACUGACGAAAUGUGUACCCUCUGACCUACGUAUCUCCUCAAGUCUCUUCGACCACAAUACAAUGUAUACCAGAAGUUCGACUACGAUACAAAGAAGGUACCAAACAUAUAAACAACGUUUUUGUAUCAUGUUCUUUUUCUAGAUACGAGUACUUCUACCGUCUUCCCUUGAUGUACACCUUGUUCUUGGUGGUCGCGACUGGUCAACCCGCAGACCUAUCACCAUCACGUGUUUUUAACGAACGGCAUAUCUCAGUUGCAUUAGAUGAUGAUCGGGUGAGCGACUAAAAAUACAAUACUUUAAUAUCAAGUUGGUAUCAUACAUAAAUGUGAGGACGACACUCUAACAUGAUGUAUUUAAUACCCUCCUGUUUCAUCCGGAAAUAUACGUUUAUUGUUGAACAACUUUACUCAUUGAACUCGGUAAACCGUGUUGUCCAGAUAAAAGAAUGAACGUUAUUACACGUAACGGAAAAUAAGAUGGCAGACUUUUUUCAAACACUCAGUACUGUGUUCUUAAGAGGUGACAAUGACAUUGAUUUAUAUUCUACUUGACGUUUUUGUAGAAUAUAAAUCAAUGUCUCCCUCAUCCACAAACACGGAUAUUCUUUACGAUUGAACUUUAGGUUGUUUGUUACUGGUUGGAUGUGAUUUCAUUUUGAGACGUCUGUGUUUUGUUUAUGAUCUGUUGAAUUUACCAAAGAUUCGUGAAAAAUAAUCUUUUGGCUCAGAUGAUAACUUAAGAUACGAGAUUCCUAACGGAUGGUUUC